This 256-nucleotide long non-coding RNA is filed under the name Homo sapiens (human). RNAcentral describes it as "HSALNT0359684". Lineage: Eukaryota; Metazoa; Chordata; Mammalia; Primates; Hominidae. The record is from RNAcentral.
GCCCAGACGACCCAUGGCUAGGGUAAAGCUGGUGCUGUCCUAGAAAUUGGGUCUCCCCUCCCAGAUCCAGGCUGCCUCCUGCAGGCUGCAGACUCUGACAUCCAGCCAUCUCAAUAUUCCAGAGAAGAGGAUGAGUGUGAAGGGUGGUGGCGAUUUUAAACAAGGUGAUCAGGAAGACCUUGUGGAUAACUUCGGGUCUGAGCACACUCCAUCAGGAGUCCCCCUCUGUCACCCGGGCUGGAGUGGAAUGGUGCGA